This 501-nucleotide ribosomal RNA is filed under the name uncultured Uliginosibacterium sp. Its description in RNAcentral is "bacterial SSU rRNA". It matches the Rfam family "Bacterial small subunit ribosomal RNA", at positions 30 to 524 of the family's 1533-position model. The record is from RNAcentral. Lineage: Bacteria; Pseudomonadati; Pseudomonadota; Betaproteobacteria; Rhodocyclales; Zoogloeaceae.
AUUGAACGCUGGCGGCAUGCCUUACACAUGCAAGUCGAACGGAUUGAAGGGGCUUGCUCCUUCAAUUAGUGGCGAACGGGUGAGUAAAGCAUCGGAACGUACCCAGUCGUGGGGGAUAACGUAGCGAAAGUUACGCUAAUACCGCAUACGAUCUGAGGAUGAAAGCGGGGGAUCGCAAGACCUCGCGCGAUUGGAGCGGCCGAUGUCGGAUUAGCUAGUUGGUGGGGGUAAAGGCCUACCAAGGCGACGAUCCGUAGCUGGUCUGAGAGGAUGAUCAGCCACACUGGAACUGAGACACGGGUCCAGACUCCUACGGGAGGCAGCAGUGGGGAAUUUUGGACAAUGGGGAAACCUGAUCCAGCCAUGCCGCGUGAGUGAAGAAGGCCUUCGGGUUGUAAAGCUCUUUCAGUCGGAAAGAAAAGGCUCCGGAUAAUACCUGGAGUUGAUGACGGUACCGACAGAAGAAGCACCGGCUAACUACGUGCCAGCAGCCGCGGUAAU